UGUACUCCAAUUUCUAUGCAGUUGGAACGUUUGUCUACGUUUACCGCUAGGGGCGCUGUUCCAAUUGCAUAUAAAUUUUAGCUA
This 84-nucleotide microRNA precursor is filed under the name Bombyx mori (domestic silkworm). Its description in RNAcentral is "mir-2807 microRNA precursor family". It matches the Rfam family "mir-2807 microRNA precursor family". Lineage: Eukaryota; Metazoa; Arthropoda; Insecta; Lepidoptera; Bombycidae. The record is from Rfam by way of RNAcentral.